Molecule: long non-coding RNA, 800 nt
Organism: Dermacentor albipictus
Lineage: Eukaryota; Metazoa; Arthropoda; Arachnida; Ixodida; Ixodidae
Source: RefSeq, a predicted model, not a curated record
GAUACACACGGGAGGGCAAAAUCCCGCCUGCUCCGCGGACAAAUAGUGACGUCAUCACUUGAAUCCGGCGCAGCCGAGUUAGGUCGCAUUCACACAGCCGGAGCACCGUUUGCGGAAUCCGCGUGCUUAUUCUCGACGCCAACGCCACGCACGUUGCCAAACUGCUGGGUACGAGUGCGCAUUCCAAGAUAGACAGCUAUCGGAGGCGGCGUUUGUCCGCGUUGGCUGUUCUACUCGAAGUGAGUGAAGACAGCUAGGUGUAGGCUGUAAAAAGAAAACGAUUAUGCUUGAAGAAACCACGGAUGUCGAAGAAUACGCUUUGUGUUCAGAGCUUGCUUUGUGAAGAUCUGCUAGAGUGUGAUCCGCACGAAUACAAGCGCCUACUGCGCGUCAGCAGCACGCAGUUUUUCGAACUUCUGGCCCCCGUUCAACAUACAAUCGAGCGGCAAGAAACCAUCGUGAGACCAUCUGUGCCAGCGAAGACACGGCUUCAAAUCACUCUUCGCUUUCUCGCCGCAGGAGAAACGCACUACUCUUAAGCUGACAGUUCAGGGAGGACACUCAACUGUCAACCAGCUCAUAAAAGAGACAUGUGUGGCAAUCUGCCUGGAGCUGAAAGACGAAUUCUUGAAGACCCCCAAGACUGACGGAGAGUGGUCUAGAGCCAUGCAAGACAUCAAAGAAAAGUGGCAGUUCCCCAAUUGUAUUGGUGCUAUAGAUGGAAAACAUGUGUGCAUCAUCAAGCCAAAUAUUCAGGCUCUUUGUAUUUCAACUACAAUAAAACCUUCAGCAUAGUGCUA